CAGCCCUGCCCACUGGGUGAAACUGCAAGUCGAGAGCGUGGGAAACCAGCAAGUUGAGAGAGGAUCCAGAAGUAACCCCUUCUAAAACGGGAAAGAUGCCUUCCGAAAGGGAGAAGACCACAGAAGCUCUGCAUUUGGAACUUUUCCUGGAUUCUGUCCCAUUUGCUUCUUCCCAUGGCUGAUUUUGAUCUGGAUGAUGCGGAAGAGGCUUCAGGAAGAUGUAACUCUUUCCUUGUGGCUGUGACCAUUUUAUAGACUGGUUUCCAGGCUCAGCAGGCACACAGCAUCAGGGCCUUCACUGCAUUUCUUCCUAGAAGCCAGAGACCAAAAUGCAUGUGACAGCUCAAGAAUUUUUCUAGCAGUUGGUUGCUGCUGCUCACUCCACCCACAGAAAGAAAAACUAAAAGGAAUUUUACCCUUGGUGUCGCAGUUACUUUUUGGACAGGGGCAACUGCAACUGUGAAAUGGCUGAGUCAGGAAACUUCCUCUGUCUUUAAGACAAAAUUGCUCUAGGCUAGUGUAAUUAGUGAUGUGAAGCCUUUCUUCCCAACCCCAAAUCCCCUAAAGUCCUCUUAUUUAAAUAUCUGCCCCCCUAUUUCCAGCUGUCUCCUCUCAAAAGCCCAUCCUUUAUAAACCCGGUGUCAGAUUGUUUCAUUUUAUUAGGUUGAACCAUGUGAAAUGGCUGAUGGUUCCACCUAAUCUAGUUAGAGAGUUUCUUUUGAGAAACAGAGGAACAUCACAGUGAAUAAGAACUGGAGACAGCAUUACUUCUUGGAAGAGAGGCAGUGAAGCUGGAGGAAAGCAGCACCCAGCACUGUUCCCAGGUGUGGGCACUGCAGCCUGUGUGCAGAUGCCUAGACUCCAGCCUCAGCCUGAGAAGCAGUUGCUGGUUGGAGUUGGGAGGAAAUAUGCCAGGCUCUGAGGAGCAUCAGCUUCGCUAAUGAUUCACAAAACCCUAUGAAGUCAAAGCAGGUUGUUGUGGUUGAAAAAUGCAAAGCAACCGUGUCUUCAUCAGAGUUACAAAACAUUGCCCAUAUGCACACACUAAGAGCACUUUCAACCUGCUGUAUUUCCUUCGCUUGGGCAAAUGCUAGGCUUUGAUUUCUUUCUUCUUUUUUUCCCCCUCUCAUGUUCUUUAUGGCAGUGCUUUCCCAGUCUAGAAAGGUUUGCAUUUCCUCACAUCCUUCUCUUAGGCUGAGCAUGGUUAUUGCAUGACUUAAAUCAAAGCAAUAACGAAACCAAACCAAACCAAACAAAAACUCAACAGCUCUGAUAGAGCAUGUAGAAACUAGCUGGUUGGGAAACAAAUGUAACCUUUUAAUCUGUUAAGGAUUGAGUUCUAAGUUGAUUCAUGCCAAUGAAUAACCAGGAAAAUGAAGAUCACAGUUUGAAUGGUUGACUUUUGCUUUUUCUCCUUAGGAUCAUGGUAAAGUUGUAAUUCAUGCACAUGUUUGUCACAGCACAGGCCACGUGGUAUUUUAUUGGGAUUGAUUUAGCUAAAGGCCACUGAUGGAUGGAAUUCUUUGGAUUGUGUAUCUUUUUCAGCAAACAACAUGCUACUAAGGAAAGACCCUCUUUUCCUUGUGUCCUCAUGAAAUUUGCACCAAAUAGAAAUCAGAGAAGGCAUUCAAUUCUUGGGUAGUGGUGCCAUCGGCCUCUGUACCCAAGAGCUUCUCUGCAAUGUCCCAGAAGACUGACCUUUCUCUGGUUAUGGCUCUUUGUUAUGCAAACUGCAAGACAUCCGGUGCCACAUCAGUGAUCCUGGUCUUGGUUCUGUUGUAGAAAACUUGGUUCUGUUGUAGAAAGUUUACUUGAACCCAGCCCCACAGAACACACUGGAAAUAGCUCACUAUGCUAGUGAAGGAAACAAAAAUAUUUCACCCCAAAAUAUACUUCUUUGACGUACUUUGAGAUGACUGUUCAGAGGACCUGCGAACACAAGUAGCCCUGCAAAGCUGUCUUUUGUUGGGGAGAUUUACAUCUGUAGAGGAAAUAAAGUGAGGUAAACAACAGAUGCAAACAGGCUUUCUUUGAAGCCCCCCCUUGUUUGGGUCCAGGAAAGAUUAACUGAGCCUGACACCCAUCUAUUCUUCCUGAGGGUUGCUACCUCUGAGGUUUUAUCUGCAUAUCAAGACUGCCUUUGCUCUGAGCUUUGGUUAAUAAAUGCUGGAAAAAAAAGACCGCCUUUGUUAGCCAAGCCUAUCCUCUUCUCUCCCUCCUGUAACCUGUCUUGCCACCAUAACAUGUUUUCCCACCUUCCAAG
This is a long non-coding RNA of Gorilla gorilla gorilla (western lowland gorilla), 2263 nucleotides long. RefSeq lists it as uncharacterized. NCBI's taxonomy places the organism in Eukaryota, Metazoa, Chordata, Mammalia, Primates, Hominidae. The transcript is spliced from 3 exons. The record is from RefSeq and is a predicted model, not a curated record.